AGAUCGUUGCACUAUAUCAUCUAGAAAAAAUCGAUCAAAUGUAUGUGCAAUAUAGUUUGGAAUGUGUGGAUAUGCGCUCGCGUUUGUUUUUCUGGCUACUCUUUCGCAGAGUGAAAAACUCUAAUUGAUUGAGCGCAUAAAAUUCAAUUGAUUGCUGAAUAAUGCAAAACGACUAAUGAAUGUUUAACCCAUUUCAAUCAGCGAGUUGUCAAAUCAAAGCGGAAAUAUUUUAUAAACAUAUUCACAAAAAAAAAAGCAAAGAGAAACUGAAAAGGGAAUAAAUAUUAAAGCAAAUUAAAUUGAGCUGGCAGCUGAGUUGCCACACCAACAACAACAACAACAACAACAACAAGAACAACAACUCGUUUGUGGUUGUGGGCGUCGUCGCAUGUUUCUUGUCAGCUCUCUCAUUGAUGGGUAAACAAAGCCAGCGCAACUAUGCAACGACAGACGACAAAGAUGCAUAAACAAAAUGCAACAAAAAGUACAAAUAAAAACAACAACAACAACAAUAGCUAUGCAGCACUUGAAGCCACUUGUGAAACAAAUGAAACAUACCAGAGGAGAGGAGGCCCCGCUGUGUGUGCCUGCCUGCCUGCCUGUCCCUCAGCGCGGGUCCGGAGUGUGUCGAGCGAACGAACGAGCGAACGAACGACUGAUUCCGGCAGCUCCAGAACGGAACUGUUAACUGAGAAUGACGUUGAGGCUGACGUUGGCAGUGAUAAGAGCCGGGGCGUGUGCAAUGCGCAUUUCACAGAUACAGAUGCAGAUACAGAUACAUUUACAGCUACAGCUGCAGAUACAUUUGCAGUUACUGUUACAGAUACAAAUAUGUGUGUGUGUUACACAAUUGUCACUCGUAAACGCCCCCCACCGAAGCCACAGCCCCGUUUGAACUGCUUAGAUUUAUGCACAGUUCCCGCCCUCCCGCUCUUCAGCCACAUGUCUAAUUAGUGCAUAAUAUAUAGUUUGGCAAUAUCUAAGCUGAUUGUCUGGUUGCACAGCUCGAGAUGCAGUGUCAGAUAGAUACAUCCUCUCGGUGCUCGACAGCACCAAGUGGCAUGCCUCAAAGAAUGUGCUUUUACAGCGCAGCUUCCGUCUCCCCCGCGUCAUACAAUCAAUAAAUAUUUCGCUUGAUAUUAAACAGCCCUUCGCUGGGAGCGGAGGCGGGGCACGAAUACAAAAAGAAAUCAAAAUACAAAUAAUGAAGAAUAAUGAACACAAAGGGCUCGCAACGAAGGCAGCCAAACAAAUUGGUUGCAAGCAUCGCCAGAUGGAGGCUGCCGCCUGUGGCAAGUAUCAAGUCUGGGCCAGUGUGUGCCGCGCGUGUGUGGCAUGUUUAUACUGGCAAGCUUUACGGCACGCAAAUGCUUCACAUCAAGAUACUUUUCGAAGGGCGUGUGUGCUUCGCAUCUUCCAAAUAUAUAUAUUUAUAUAUAUAUUUAGAACUGACAGCCUGGCAGCAUGCUGCGCCAAGCUGAAGGGAUUAUCAAUGGGCAAAGUCUUGCGAUCAAUGGAAAUCGAAAUGGUGGAAAUAAAAAAAAAAACAAGUGUUUAAUCAAGAGUUCUUCGAGAAGUGUUGGCAACUAUUUGAAGCAGCAGCAGGAAAUCAACGAAAUUGUCGUCACUCCAAUCAAGUGGAAAUUUGAUUAAAGCAGAGAAAAGAAAAAUUUAAUAUAUUUUCAAAACUCAAUAGCCGAACAACAACACAAAAAAAAAAGAAAGAAAGAAAAGUGUGCGAGUAUAUCAAAAAAGGUAACAGCAAAGGAAAUCAACACGCACGCACAUCAGCGAAUUUGUAGUUGUGCAAGGACAACAGAACAAAAAAAAAAAAACGAAACAAAAUUAAGGAAAACAACAACAAACGGUAGCAAACAUUAAAAGUCAGCGAAGUGUAAAAAAAAAAGGUGAAUACAGACAGCAAGACAGAGGCAAUACAAUUUAUAAAA
Long non-coding RNA from Drosophila montana, 1949 nucleotides. RefSeq lists it as uncharacterized. NCBI's taxonomy places the organism in Eukaryota, Metazoa, Arthropoda, Insecta, Diptera, Drosophilidae. The transcript has 3 exons. The record is from RefSeq and is a predicted model, not a curated record.